AAAAAGAAAAGAAAAAAGAUUUCUUAUGAGGCGUUGGCAGGUUUCCUGAGAUUGGAACUUAGAUAAUUUAUUGGACCCACCACCACCACCCGAGGGGUUUCAGGAGGCACUGUGAAGUCAAGCCUGGCUGCAUUCUGCAUGGUGUCAGCACCUGCUCUCCUUCCUCUCCACCACCCGUGUCUGGAAUGAUAAAGAUGAUGUAUGGGAAAGUCAAGUAUCUGAGCUGUACCUGGAGUAAGACCUCCCUUCCCUCUUUCUCCCAACCUUCAAAAAGUUGGAUGUAUCAUUUCCUUACAGGAAUUUUAUUCUUUUACUCAAUAAUAACUUCAAAAAAUAACCUCGAUACAUUAUAAAUGAUGUUGGUAAUACUAAGCAUGCUUCUGGCACCCACUUUUAGAUUUCCCUUUAGGUCAGCCCCACAUUCUUUUGGUGGAGCCUCAGAGGCAACCACUCUUUUCUCUUUCUGAUUGCUGAUCUAUGCUCUUUCAAUGUGACUAGAAGAGCAGAUUCAGCUACAUAGGCAUUUAGGACUUAAGUCUUUGCAUCUUUGGGGGGAUAUUAUCAGAGAUUUGGAUCUAAAAUGCAAUAUCUAUCUACACUCUAGUCAAACACGAGUCACAAUGAUAUUUAGAAUAAAAUAGGUAAGUCAAAGGGACUGCAUUGAAAUAAUGUCGAAGUUCAACUCAUAAUACUUUAGGGAAUGCAUGCUUUCUGUAUAUUUUGAGUGGGAAUAUAAUUAUGCUUCAGUAAGUGAGCUACUAAAUUGAAGAAGUAUAAAAAACCACCUUAUGAAAUUGUAAAGUAGAAUAUCAUCUUUUCUUCAGUCUCUGCAAAAGGUUUUUAAGGUCUUUUUUGCAUGCUCACUACAGGUCAAUGUCAGAAUCGCUCAUUAUAGUUCUUUGCCUCUGCCUUACUCUGCUGACAAAGCUGAAUCCCAUGGAAACUUGGCCAUUACACUAUAAUUGCAGUCAAACAGUAUUUGGAGCCAUUGUUACCAGAAACUUGAAAAAUUGGGAGUGGCAGAGGAGAAAAGACUAUGCCAGGAACCAGAAAAAAUACUUUGAUUCAAAGUUAGGCCGUAUCAUUGCCAUGGGCCGGGGAUGAAAAAAUUCUCUGACCAAAGAAGACCUGCAUCAAAGGGAGUGUCUACAGGAUUAUUGAAGAAUGCAUAGGUGAUGGAAUAUUGGUCUUGACUUUUUUUUAAUUUAUAAAAAUUUAUGAAUGCCUUUUUUCAUAAUCUUGUAAGGUGAAUAAUGAAGGAGUUAUUCUGAGACUUUUAUAUCUGUGUCCGAGACACUACCUCAUGGACGUUAUUCAUUGUACAUUUUUCUGUUCUGCCUGCUCUAUCCUCCUACUCACAAUUUUGGAACAUUUUUAAACCUUGAGAAAAGUUAAAGGAAUAAUAUGCUUUGCCCAUAGUUUCUUUACUUUCUGUAUCUUUUUUUUUCUGACUUCUUAAUAAUUUUUCUCCUCAUGACAACCUACUAUUGAAAAAUUUUUUGACACUGUAGAAACAGCCCUUAUUGGUUGCAACAUGGAUUGGAAGAGGAGAGGUUACAGCAGCUCCCACUCCUGGGCCAGCAUCCAAAAAGCUAAAAAGAAACUUUAUUGUGUAUAUUUAACAUAUACAAUGUGAUGUUAUGGGAUACAUAUAGACAGUAAAAUGGUUUCUGUAGUGAAGCAAAUUAACAUACCCAUCAUCUCAUAUAGGUACUGUGUGUGUGUGUGUGU
Molecule: long non-coding RNA, 1731 nt
Organism: Sapajus apella (tufted capuchin)
Lineage: Eukaryota; Metazoa; Chordata; Mammalia; Primates; Cebidae
Exons: 2
Source: RefSeq, a predicted model, not a curated record